This 1181-nucleotide ribosomal RNA is filed under the name Azumapecten farreri. RNAcentral describes it as "partial 16S ribosomal RNA". The stretch from base 131 to 911 matches the Rfam family "Bacterial large subunit ribosomal RNA", at positions 572 to 2043 of the family's 2925-position model. The record is from RNAcentral. Lineage: Eukaryota; Metazoa; Mollusca; Bivalvia; Pectinida; Pectinidae.
UGGCGCGCCCGGCAGGAGGGGACGGGGCAGAAGUUUCAGUAGGAGUAAUUAAAUCAUUUUUUAUUGUUUUAGUAGGUGAGACCGAAUUAAACAUAUAUGACAGCGAUAGAGAAUUGAUAGUAACGUGAGUGAAGGUUUUAAUCAGUGGGGCAGCAACGGUGAGAUCGUGUACCUUUUGCAUCAUGGCUCUACUACUUUUUAUUCACAUGAGGUAGCCCGAAAGUUUAAUGAUCUACUUCUUUGCUAUGGGUUGGCGUUGAAUUGCUAUCCAGAGAUGGGGAGGUAGCGGCGACAUACUUUUCGCAUUAGCUGGUAGCUGGUUGUUCUGGAAAUAUAUCUAAGUAUAGCCCUACUUUGGGACAGAUUCUACAGCUAUAGUUUUUCUUGGCUUGCCAAGAUGCUGUCCUCUUUUAGGAGAUGGCCCCUCCAGGCUAAGCUGGGGGGGUGCCUGAAAAGGAUGAUUGGUGAAGUCUUAGGUUUGGAAGUAGGUUUUAAGGAGCCAUCUUUUUGGAGUGGGUUUCACCUCACACUAACCUUCAUUACAAAUAAUAAUGGAUUUAUCUUUUAAUUGUACGGUACCUUCUUACGAAACUACUUCAGUAGGAGUGAUAAUGUAGAGAUGAGUAGUCGAGAUAGUUUGUAAUUAUUUUUUGUUUCAGGGUAAAAAAUAAGAAUAUAAGAAUGCGUAUUGGAAAACAAACCUUAAGGAACUCGGCAAAAUAGAGGACCGCCUGUUUAUCAAAAACAUGGCUUUCUGAAGAACAUGGGGGGUCGUGCCUUCCCAGUGGGCAUACGAGCCUAAACGGACGCGGUAAAUCGUGCUAAGGUAGCUAAAUUAUGGCCUAUUAAUUGUAGGUCCUGUGAAUGGUUUGACGAGUCCUCGACUGUCUCGAGGUUGUUUUGGUGAACUUGAAUUGAAUGUGCAAAUGCUUUCAUGGGAAAGAAAGACGAGAAGACCCCGUGAAGUUAGAAAUUCCUAUUACAGCGUUAAUCCGCUUUGAUGUUUGUAGAUCAGGCGUUUUAGAACUUUAAUUUUCCAAUACGGCUAGAGUUAGGGGUAUUGGAUGUUUAUAGUUUUUAAGUAGGGGAGUGUGGUUUUGAUGAGUUUUGGCUGGGGCAGCAAAGAGGCAAAACUAGACCUCUUUAGACACACAACGGGUGCGUUACGACCCACAAAAAUG